GACGAACGCUGGCGGCGUGCCUAAUACAUGCAAGUAGAACGCACAGUUUAUACCGUAGCUUGCUACACCAUAGACUGUGAGUUGCGAACGGGUGAGUAACGCGUAGGUAACCUGCCUGGUAGCGGGGGAUAACUAUUGGAAACGAUAGCUAAUACCGCAUAAUAUUGAUUAUUGCAUGAUAAUUGAUUGAAAGAUGCUAUUGCAUCACUACCAGAUGGACCUGCGUUGUAUUAGCUAGUAGGUGAGGUAACGGCUCACCUAGGCGACGAUACAUAGCCGACCUGAGAGGGUGAUCGGCCACACUGGGACUGAGACACGGCCCAGACUCCUACGGGAGGCAGCAGUAGGGAAUCUUCGGCAAUGGACGAAAGUCUGACCGAGCAACGCCGCGUGAGUGAAGAAGGUUUUCGGAUCGUAAAGCUCUGUUGUAAGAGAAGAACGGGUGUGGGAGUGGAAAGUUCACACUGUGACGGUAUCUUACCAGAAAGGGACGGCUAACUACGUG
Molecule: ribosomal RNA, 505 nt
Filed under: uncultured bacterium
Lineage: Bacteria
Description: partial 16S ribosomal RNA
Rfam family: Bacterial small subunit ribosomal RNA
Source: RNAcentral